RNAcentral lists this non-coding RNA (127 nucleotides) under Achromobacter sp. RNAcentral's name for it is "SAH sequence". It matches the Rfam family "SAH (S-adenosyl-L-homocysteine) riboswitch aptamer". The record is from RNAcentral. Lineage: Bacteria; Pseudomonadati; Pseudomonadota; Betaproteobacteria; Burkholderiales; Alcaligenaceae.
AAACCUGAGGAGCGUUGCGACGAUUCCGCCGGUGUGCCCAGCGCACGGGCCGCGGUUCGCCAGGCUCAGGAAACCCUGCAUGGGCGCCGCGCACCGCGCGGCGACGCAGCAACGGCGCUCACCUUUG